UUGAACGCUGGCGGCAUGCUUUACACAUGCAAGUCGAACGGCAGCGGGGGCUUCGGCCUGCCGGCGAGUGGCGAACGGGUGAGUAAUGCAUCGGAACGUGCCCAGUCAUGGGGGAUAACUACGCGAAAGCGUGGCUAAUACCGCAUACGCCCUGAGGGGGAAAGCGGGGGACCUUCGGGCCUCGCGCGAUUGGAGCGGCUGAUGUCGGAUUAGCUGGUUGGUGGGGUAAAGGCCUACCAAGGCGACGAUCCGUAGCUGGUCUGAGAGGAUGAUCCGCCACACUGGGACUGAGACACGGACCAGACUCCUACGGGAGGCAGCAGGGGGGAAUUUUGGACAAUGGGGGCAACCCUGAUCCAGCCAUGCCGCGUGAGUGAAGAAGGUCUUCGGGUUGUAAAGCUCUUUCAGACGGAAAGAAAUCGGGCGCGUGAAUAGCGUGCCUGGAUGACGGUACUGUCAGAAGAAGCACCGGCUAACUACGU
This 482-nucleotide ribosomal RNA is filed under the name uncultured bacterium. RNAcentral's name for it is "bacterial SSU rRNA". It matches the Rfam family "Bacterial small subunit ribosomal RNA", at positions 29 to 506 of the family's 1533-position model. The record is from RNAcentral.